AUUGAACGCUGGCGGCAGGCCUAACACAUGCAAGUCGAACGGACCCUUCGGGGUUAGUGGCGGACGGGUGAGUAACACGUGGGAACGUGCCUUUAGGUUCGGAAUAGCUCCUGGAAACGGGUGGUAAUGCCGAAUGUGCCCUUCGGGGGAAAGAUUUAUCGCCUUUAGAGCGGCCCGCGUCUGAUUAGCUAGUUGGUGAGGUAAUGGCUCACCAAGGCGACGAUCAGUAGCUGGUCUGAGAGGAUGACCAGCCACAUUGGGACUGAGACACGGCCCAAACUCCUACGGGAGGCAGCAGUGGGGAAUCUUGCGCAAUGGGCGAAAGCCUGACGCAGCCAUGCCGCGUGGAUGAUGAAGGUCUUAGGAUUGUAAAAUCCUUUCACCGGUGAAGAUAAUGACUGUAGCCGGAGAAGAAGCCCCGGCUAACUUCGUGCCAGCCGCCGCGGUAA
This 449-nucleotide ribosomal RNA is filed under the name uncultured bacterium. RNAcentral describes it as "partial 16S ribosomal RNA". It matches the Rfam family "Bacterial small subunit ribosomal RNA", at positions 30 to 523 of the family's 1533-position model. The record is from RNAcentral.